AUUUAUACUAAUAAUUGAUUCAGGCAAUAAAUAUCAGUGAAUUCCACAAAUAAGUGAAUGAAAAUUUGAUGAGCAAUAGCAUACAUAUAACUUUGUUUUGUUUUGUUUUGUUUUGUUUUGUGUUUUGUGUUUUUGAGACAAGAUCUCACUGUCUGACCCAGGCUGGCCUUGAACUCACUAUCCUCCUGCCUCAACCAUGAGUGCUGAGAUUACAAGUGUGCACCACCAGGCCCAGCUCCUAGCACUAAUAUUCUAUAAGAUAAGUUUCUAGGUUUCUUUUCUGGGGACUGGUCCUCGUGGUAGAGGGUGAGGGUGAGGAUCAGCUGAUAUUCUAUAUUUUAACAGUUGCCCCAAGGAAUCAUCAGGUUGAGGCCUUUUGCUUGCUGUGGCCGUUUGUGAAGCUUCCAUAAGGCUGAUGUGCUAAGGUGACAUGUGGACUCCUCCCCUCAGGAUUUUGUCUUCACCUGUGUGUAGACUCAGCUCCUCAAUUUAUCUGGAAUUCAAACCGCCCAGGGGACACGACUCUGCAGUCUUCCAGAGAGGCCUGGUGGCAAGGCAGGUUACCAGGCUUCAGCCCCCAUGUGAGCUGACUCAUUCCUUUCCCUUCUCCCUCUUCCUCCCUUUCCUGUGUUCAUUAGAAACUGGCUGUGAGAUGGGCUUUGUAAUGAGAUAUGAACACAGGGAAGUGCUUCUCCAUUUCAAGGAGAAAAGAAACCAGUGUCUGUGGUGACGGGCACCUGUGGAUUUUCAGUGGCGGCCUCUGCUUUCCUGUCUCUUUCAGGGCUGGGAAACAUCACUAGAGACACAGAUGUCACUGAUACCCUCGAGGCUAAUUAGACAUCCCGAUCAUUCUGGGUGCUUGCUUAAUUAAAACAUUCAUGCUGAUGUGUUAACACUGAGAUAUAUACUUGUAAGCAGCAGGAGUGCUUGAAAACAGAAAUGACCUCCAGAUAAAGCAUUGUGACCUCCUACCUCUAAGUGCUGCCUCCUGUGUGAGCCAAGUGGAGGGUCCUGUUUGGCCAGACU
Molecule: long non-coding RNA, 1026 nt
Organism: Heterocephalus glaber (naked mole-rat)
Lineage: Eukaryota; Metazoa; Chordata; Mammalia; Rodentia; Bathyergidae
Source: Ensembl